RNAcentral lists this ribosomal RNA (466 nucleotides) under uncultured bacterium. RNAcentral describes it as "partial 16S ribosomal RNA". It matches the Rfam family "Bacterial small subunit ribosomal RNA", at positions 28 to 507 of the family's 1533-position model. The record is from RNAcentral.
GACGAACGCUGGCGGCGUGCUUAACACAUGCGAGUCGAACGGAAAGGCCCUGCUUGCAGGGUACUCGAGUGGCGAACGGGUGAGUAACACGUGGGUGAUCUGCCCUGCACUUCGGGAUAAGCUUGGGAAACUGGGUCUAAUACCGGAUAGGAGCCAUCUUUAGUGUGGUGGUUGGAAAGUUUUUUCGGUGUAGGAUGAGCUCGCGGCCUUUCAGCUUGUGGGUGGGGUAUUGGCCUACCAGGGCGGCGACGGGUAGCCGGCCUGAGAGGGUGUACGGCCACAUUGGGACUGAGAUACGGCCCAGACUCCUACGGGAGGCAGCAGUGGGGAAUAUUGCACAAUGGGCGCAAGCCUGAUGCAGCGACGCCGCGUGGGGGAUGAAGGCCUUCGGGUUGUAAACUCCUUUCGCUAGGGACGAAGCUUUGUUGUGACGGUACCUAGAUAAGAAGCACCGGCUAACUACGUG